GACGAACGCUGGCGGCGAGCUUAACACAUGCAAGUCGAACGGUGAAGCGCCUUCCUUUUUGGUGGGUGUGGAUGAGUGGCGAACGGGUGAGUAACACGUGAGUAACCUGCCCCCUUCUUCUGGAUAACCGCAUGAAAGUGUGGCUAAUACGGGAUAUUCUGGGUCUGUCGCAUGAUGGGUCUGGGAAAGAUAUUGUUUCGGUGGGGGAUGGGCUCGCGGCCUAUCAGCUUGUUGGUGGGGUGAUGGCCUACCAAGGCGGUGACGGGUAGCCGGCCUGAGAGGGUGGACGGUCACACUGGGACUGAGACACGGCCCAGACUCCUACGGGAGGCAGCAGUGGGGAAUAUUGCACAAUGGGCGCAAGCCUGAUGCAGCGACGCCGCGUGAGGGAUGGAGGCCUUCGGGUUGUGAACCUCUUUCGCCAGUGAAGCAGGCCUGCCUCGUUUGUGGGUGGGUUGACGGUAGCUGGAUAAGAAGCGCCGGCUAACUACGUG
This 494-nucleotide ribosomal RNA is filed under the name uncultured bacterium. Its description in RNAcentral is "partial 16S ribosomal RNA". It matches the Rfam family "Bacterial small subunit ribosomal RNA", at positions 28 to 507 of the family's 1533-position model. The record is from RNAcentral.